This 105-nucleotide small RNA is filed under the name Nitrosomonas mobilis. RNAcentral's name for it is "Nitrosococcus mobilis Guanidine-I riboswitch aptamer". It matches the Rfam family "Guanidine-I riboswitch aptamer". Rfam says of the family: This family represents a conserved RNA structure found upstream of the ykkC and yxkD genes in Bacillus subtilis and related genes in other bacteria. The record is from Rfam by way of RNAcentral. Lineage: Bacteria; Pseudomonadati; Pseudomonadota; Betaproteobacteria; Nitrosomonadales; Nitrosomonadaceae.
AACAAGAAAAACUAGGGUUCCGGCCUAUUUACUUAAGGUGUCUGGUCCGAGAGUUUUUGGUCUCGUUAUAACGAGGCUCCACGGAGGGAUAAAAGCCCGGGAGAU